RNAcentral lists this ribosomal RNA (506 nucleotides) under uncultured bacterium. RNAcentral's name for it is "partial 16S ribosomal RNA". It matches the Rfam family "Bacterial small subunit ribosomal RNA", at positions 29 to 523 of the family's 1533-position model. The record is from RNAcentral.
AGUGAACGCUGGCGGUAGGCCUAACACAUGCAAGUCGAACGGCAGCACAGGAGAGCUUGCUCUCUGGGUGGCGAGUGGCGGACGGGUGAGGAAUACAUCGGAAUCUACUCUGUCGUGGGGGAUAACGUAGGGAAACUUACGCUAAUACCGCAUACGACCUACGGGUGAAAGCAGGGGACCUUCCGGCCUUGCGCGAUUGAAUGAGCCGAUGUCGGAUUAGCUAGUUGGCGGGGUAAAGGCCCACCAAGGGGACGAUCCGUAGCUGGUCUGAGAGGAGGAUCAGCCACACUGGAACUGAGACACGGUCCAGACUCCUACGGGAGGCAGCAGUGGGGAAUAUUGGACAAUGGGCGCAAGCCUGAUCCAGCCAUACCGCGUGGGUGAAGAAGGCCUUCGGGUUGUAAAGCCCUUUUGUUGGGAAAGAAAUCCAGCUGGCUAAUACCCGGUUGGGAUGACGGUACCCAAAGAAUAAGCACCGGCUAACUUCGUGCCAGCAGCCGCCGCAG